This is a long non-coding RNA of Carassius auratus (goldfish), 320 nucleotides long. RefSeq lists it as uncharacterized. NCBI's taxonomy places the organism in Eukaryota, Metazoa, Chordata, Actinopteri, Cypriniformes, Cyprinidae. The transcript has 3 exons. The record is from RefSeq and is a predicted model, not a curated record.
CUGUUUGGGCUUGUUCUGACGGCACCCAUUCACUGCAGAGGAUCCAUUGGUGAGCAAGUGAUAUAAUGCUACAUUUCCUCAAAACUGUUCCAAUGAAGAAAUGCUCAUCUACAGCUUGGAUGGCCUUAUAUAGAGAUGAGGGGGAGGCGUGCUGACGUUGACCCAGAAGUGAAGUGAUGCGUGGAGGACAGACAGCAGUAACAGCAAGAGAGAACAGGUUGCUUAACAGUUGCUUUUCUACAGGCCAAAUUAAAGUCAUUUUGUGACUGACAUGACUAAUUCAGUACUCCGAAAGCUGGCUGUUGAUUGGUUCCCCUCAG